GAUGAUAUAGCUCAAGUGGUAGAGCGCAUGCUUAGCAUGCAGAAUGUCCUGAGUUCAAUCCCCAGUACCUCCU
This 73-nucleotide transfer RNA is filed under the name Camelus bactrianus (Bactrian camel). It matches the Rfam family "tRNA". From Rfam's summary of the family: Transfer RNA (tRNA) molecules are approximately 80 nucleotides in length. Their secondary structure includes four short double-helical elements and three loops (D, anti-codon, and T loops). Lineage: Eukaryota; Metazoa; Chordata; Mammalia; Artiodactyla; Camelidae. The record is from Rfam by way of RNAcentral. RNAcentral also lists the same sequence under 2 other names.